UGCGAGUGAAGCGGGAAAAGCUCAAAUUUAAAAUCUGGCGGUCCUUGCGGCUGUCCGAGUUGUAAUCUAGAGAAGUGUUAUCCGCGCUGGACCGUGUACAAGUCUCCUGGAAUGGAGCGUCAUAGAGGGUGAGAAUCCCGUCUUUGACACGGACUGCCAGGGCUUUGUGAUGCGCUCUCAAAGAGUCGAGUUGUUUGGGAAUGCAGCUCAAAAUGGGUGGUAAAUUCCAUCUAAAGCUAAAUAUUGGCGAGAGACCGAUAGCGAACAAGUACCGUGAGGGAAAGAUGAAAAGAACUUUGGAAAGAGAGUUAAACAGUACGUGAAAUUGUUGAAAGGGAAACGCUUGAAGUCAGUCGCGUUGGCCGGGGAUCAACCUUGCUUUUGCUGGGCGUACUUCCUGGUUGACGGGUCAGCAUCAAUUUUGACCGUUGGAUAAAGGUCAGGGGAAUGUGGCAUCUUCGGAUGUGUUAUAGCCCUUGGUUGCAUACAAUGGUUGGGAUUGAGGAACUCAGCACGCCGAAAGGCCGGGUUUUUAACCACGUUCGUGCUUAGGAUGCUGGCAUAAUGGCUUUAAUCGACCCGUCUUGAAACACGGACCAAGGAGUCUAACAUGCCUGCGAGUGUUUGGGUGGAAAACCCGAGCGCGUAAUGAAAGUGAAAGUUGAGAUCUCUGUCGUGGAGAGCAUCGACGCCCAGACCAGACCUUUUGUGACG
Molecule: ribosomal RNA, 714 nt
Filed under: Ripartites sp.
Lineage: Eukaryota; Fungi; Basidiomycota; Agaricomycetes; Agaricales; Paralepistaceae
Also listed under: 1 other name
Description: LSU rRNA
Rfam family: Eukaryotic large subunit ribosomal RNA
Source: RNAcentral